AUACUUACCUGGCCCGCUUCUCGAGGUGGUCACCAUGGCCUCGGUUGCAUCCUUGGGCUUCGCCUUGCACUCCGCGAGGCCCUUGGGUGGCAGGGCCCUUCGGGGUUCCUGCAGGGCUAUAUUUUUGGAAGGCUGAGGAUCCGCGCACUGCGCGACCUCGGC
Small nuclear RNA from Gonium pectorale, 162 nucleotides. It matches the Rfam family "U1 spliceosomal RNA". From Rfam's summary of the family: U1 is a small nuclear RNA (snRNA) component of the spliceosome (involved in pre-mRNA splicing). Its 5' end forms complementary base pairs with the 5' splice junction, thus defining the 5' donor site of an intron. There are significant differences in sequence and secondary structure between metazoan and yeast U1 snRNAs, the latter being much longer (568 nucleotides as compared to 164 nucleotides in human). NCBI's taxonomy places the organism in Eukaryota, Viridiplantae, Chlorophyta, Chlorophyceae, Chlamydomonadales, Volvocaceae. The record is from Rfam.